AUCCAUCUGACUGGUCCCAAAUAGGACGAAACACGCAUCCUGGAU
This 45-nucleotide non-coding RNA is filed under the name Schistosoma haematobium. Lineage: Eukaryota; Metazoa; Platyhelminthes; Trematoda; Strigeidida; Schistosomatidae. The record is from RNAcentral.